AGUGAACGCUGGCGGUAGGCCUAACACAUGCAAGUCGAACGGCAGCACAGUAAGAGCUUGCUCUUACGGGUGGCGAGUGGCGGACGGGUGAGGAAUACAUCGGAAUCUACUUUUUCGUGGGGGAUAACGUAGGGAAACUUACGCUAAUACCGCAUACGACCUACGGGUGAAAGCAGGGGAUCUUCGGACCUUGCGCGAUUGAAUGAGCCGAUGUCGGAUUAGCUAGUUGGCGGGGUAAAGGCCCACCAAGGCGACGAUCCGUAGCUGGUCUGAGAGGAUGAUUCCCCCACCCUGACACUGGCCCCCGGCCCACCCUCCUCCGGGGGCACCCGGGGGGAAUAUUGGAACAAGGGGCGCAACCCUAAACCGCCCAUACCGGGGGGGUGAAAAAGCCCUUGGGUUUUUAAACCCCUUUUUUGGGAAAAAAAAACCCGCGGGUUAAACCCCCGCUUUUCUGACGGUACCAAAAGAAUAAGCACCGGCUACCUUCGG
This 492-nucleotide ribosomal RNA is filed under the name uncultured bacterium. Its description in RNAcentral is "partial 16S ribosomal RNA". It matches the Rfam family "Bacterial small subunit ribosomal RNA", at positions 29 to 506 of the family's 1533-position model. The record is from RNAcentral.